CAGGCCCUUGGCGUCAAAACGCAUCCGGUCGCGAUGUCCACGGCCGAGCAGGCGUACGCACAGAUGGUGCCGAAGAAGCGCUACAAGUUCUACUCGUCAGAAUCGCGCGCGGCCGCCGAACAACUGCAGGCGCGCGCGCAGGCCGCCCAGACCGGUCAGCGCCUGCCCGCGGGAGCCGCCACCGAAGUGUCACUCUUCAUCGACGGCGUCCGCUCGAUCUACGACAUCUAUCAGGGCGUUCGCGCCGAGUUGGGACAGGUGACGACAAGCAGCAACGAAAUGAAGUUCGCGUAUGUGGUGACGCCGUCAUCUCCGGAUGUCGAGAUCGAAGCGGUGGCUGC
Molecule: unclassified non-coding RNA, 341 nt
Filed under: uncultured fungus
Lineage: Eukaryota; Fungi
Description: sequence contains ITS1
Source: RNAcentral